RNAcentral lists this ribosomal RNA (490 nucleotides) under uncultured bacterium. Its description in RNAcentral is "partial 16S ribosomal RNA". It matches the Rfam family "Bacterial small subunit ribosomal RNA", at positions 29 to 507 of the family's 1533-position model. The record is from RNAcentral.
AAUGAACGCUGGCGGCAUGCCUUACACAUGCAAGUCGAACGGCAGCAUGACCUAGCUUGCUAGGUUGAUGGCGAGUGGCGAACGGGUGAGUAAUGCAUCGGAACGUGCCUUUUAGUGGGGGAUAACGUAGCGAAAGUUACGCUAAUACCGCAUAUUCUCUGAGGAGGAAAGCAGGGGACCUUCGGGCCUUGCGCUAGAAGAGCGGCCGAUGUCGGAUUAGCUAGUUGGUGAGGUAAAGGCUCACCAAGGCAACGAUCCGUAGCGGGUCUGAGAGGAUGAUCCGCCACACUGGGACUGAGACAAGGCCCAGACUCCUACGGGAGGCAGCAGUGGGGAAUUUUGGACAAUGGGCGCAAGCCUGAUCCAGCCAUGCCGCGUGAGUGAAGAAGGCCUUCGGGUUGUAAAGCUCUUUCGGCUGGGAAGAAAUCGCACCCUCUAAUACAGGGUGUGGAUGACGGUACCAGCAGAAGAAGCACCGGCUAACUACGUG